This 529-nucleotide ribosomal RNA is filed under the name uncultured bacterium. RNAcentral describes it as "bacterial SSU rRNA". It matches the Rfam family "Bacterial small subunit ribosomal RNA", at positions 979 to 1509 of the family's 1533-position model. The record is from RNAcentral.
CCUUGACAUACUAAGAACUUUCCAGAGAUGGAUUGGUGCCUUCGGGAACUUAGAUACAGGUGCUGCAUGGCUGUCGUCAGCUCGUGUCGUGAGAUGUUGGGUUAAGUCCCGNAACGAGCGCAACCUUUUCCUAUUUGCCAGCGGGUCAUGCCGGGAACUUUAAGGAUACUGCCAGUGACAAACUGGAGGAAGGCGGGGACGACGUCAAGUCAUCAUGGCCCUUACGGCCAGGGCUACACACGUGCUACAAUGGUCGGUACAAAGGGUUGCUACCUCGCGAGAGGAUGCUAAUCUCAAAAAGCCGAUCGUAGUCCGGAUCGCAGUCUGCAACUCGACUGCGUGAAGUCGGAAUCGCUAGUAAUCGCGGAUCAGAAUGCCGCGGUGAAUACGUUCCCGGGCCUUGUACACACCGCCCGUCACACCAUGGGAGUUUGUUGCACCAGAAGUAGGUAGUCUAACCGCAAGGAGGACGCUUACCACGGUGUGGCCGAUGACUGGGGUGAAGUCGUAACAAGGUAGGCGUAGAUGA